UAAUACGUAGGGGGCUAGCGUUGUCCGGAAUCAUUGGGCGUAAAGCGCGCGUAGGCGGCCCGAUAAGUCCGCUGUAAAAGUCAAAGGCUCAACCUUUGAAUGCCGGUGGAUACUGUCGGGCUAGAGUCCGGAAGAGGCGAGUGGAAUUCCUGGUGUAGCGGUGGAAUGCGCAGAUAUCAGGAGGAACACCAACGGCGAAGGCAGCUCGCUAGGACGGUACUGACGCUGAGGCGCGAAAGCGUGGGGAGCAAACAGGAUUAGAUACCCUGGUAGUCCACGCCGUAAACGAUGGGCACUAGGUGUGGGAGGUGUCGACUCCUCCCGUGCCGGCGCUAACGCAUUAAGUGCCCCGCCUGGGGAGUACGGCCGCAAGGCUA
RNAcentral lists this ribosomal RNA (377 nucleotides) under uncultured bacterium. RNAcentral describes it as "bacterial SSU rRNA". It matches the Rfam family "Bacterial small subunit ribosomal RNA", at positions 521 to 896 of the family's 1533-position model. The record is from RNAcentral.